Molecule: ribosomal RNA, 396 nt
Filed under: uncultured bacterium
Lineage: Bacteria
Description: bacterial SSU rRNA
Rfam family: Bacterial small subunit ribosomal RNA
Source: RNAcentral
GACGAACGCUGGCGGCGUGCUUAACACAUGCAAGUCGAGCGGGAUCCAACCGGUGGCAACACCGGGGAAGAUCUAGCGGCGAACGGGUGAGUAACACGUGAGCAACCUGCCCCGAAGACUGGGAUAACACCGGGAAACCGGUGCUAAUACCGGAUGUCGUCAUUAGGCCGCAUGACCUGAUGAUGAAAGGAUUCAUCGCUUCGGGAGGGGCUCGCGGGCUAUCAGCUUGNGGUGGGGUAACGGCCUACCAAGGCGACGACGGCUAGCUGGUCUGAGAGGACGACCAGCCACACUGGAACUGAGACACGGUCCAGACUCCUACGGGAGGCAGCAGUGGGGAAUUUUGGACAAUGGGCGAAAGCCUGAUCCAGCAAUGCCGCGUGCAGGAUGAAGGCC